UAGCCGUGGAACCCACCGAAAGCUGAGA
This 28-nucleotide non-coding RNA is filed under the name Mus musculus (house mouse). Lineage: Eukaryota; Metazoa; Chordata; Mammalia; Rodentia; Muridae. The record is from RNAcentral. RNAcentral also lists the same sequence under 1 other name.